Molecule: long non-coding RNA, 612 nt
Organism: Triticum aestivum (bread wheat)
Lineage: Eukaryota; Viridiplantae; Streptophyta; Magnoliopsida; Poales; Poaceae
Exons: 2
Source: RefSeq, a predicted model, not a curated record
GUAGCUUAAUUUUCUAAUAGUUAGGUUUGGAAAUAGGCAGGUCAUGGAAGGCCUUUGAUUUGUUGGAUCAGUCUGCCCUACUGCUAACAAGACGAAGGAAGAAAAGAAAUUUAAGGGAAGAACUGGUGUUGUUGCUGCUAAGAAGAAGAUCGAGCAAGUUAACAAGAAGAAAUCAUUAGGAAGACAAUGGGGAGCCAUGUGAAAGAUUCAGAUUCCUCCUACUACCUGCGCCCCGGUUGCACACACAUUGGCCCCAGUACCAAGCUCAAGCUCAAGAUUUGGAAACAAGCAGGACUUUGAAGAACAUGGCAUGACUUUGCUUUCUAGGAUCAGUCUGCUCUCCCUCCUAACAAGACCAAGGAAGAAAAUAAGUUUAAGGGAAGAACCAGUGCUUCUAAGAACAAGAUCGAGCAAGCCAACAAGAAGUGUUACUUUGAUUUGCUCCCUCACUUUAGUGCUUCAUACACAAAAAGCUAUAACUUAUGGACUUGCUCAAUCAAACUGUCAAGCGGAUGCAGAUUGAAACCACAUGUACAUAUUUUCAAGAACAAGUUCGUUUGAUAAAAGCUAAGGAUGAUAGAGCCACUAUAACCACUAAUUUGAAAAUAUUUC